CCUACGGGCGGCAGCAGUGAGGAAUAUUGGUCAAUGGACGAGAGUCUGAACCAGCCAAGUAGCGUGAAGGAUGACUGCCCUAUGGGUUGUAAACUUCUUUUAUAUGGGAAUAAAAUGUUCCACGUGUGGGAUUUUGUAUGUACCAUAUGAAUAAGGAUCGGCUAACUCCGUACCAGCAGCCGCGGUAAUACGGAGGAUCCGAGCGUUAUCCGGAUUUAUUGGGUUUAAAGGGAGCGUAGGUGGAUUGUUAAGUCAGUUGUGAAAGUUUGUGGCUCAACCGUAAAAUUGCAGUUGAAACUGGCAGUCUUGAGUACAGUAGAGGUGGGCGGAAUUCGUGGUGUAGCGGUGAAAUGCUUAGAUAUCACGAAGAACUCCGAUUGCGAAGGCAGUUCACUGGACUGCAACUGACACUGAGGCUCGAAAGUGUGGGUAUCAAACAGGAUUAGAUACCCCAGUAGUC
This 460-nucleotide ribosomal RNA is filed under the name uncultured bacterium. RNAcentral describes it as "partial 16S ribosomal RNA". It matches the Rfam family "Bacterial small subunit ribosomal RNA", at positions 338 to 795 of the family's 1533-position model. The record is from RNAcentral.